Molecule: transfer RNA, 73 nt
Organism: Oenococcus oeni
Lineage: Bacteria; Bacillati; Bacillota; Bacilli; Lactobacillales; Lactobacillaceae
Rfam family: tRNA
About the family: Transfer RNA (tRNA) molecules are approximately 80 nucleotides in length. Their secondary structure includes four short double-helical elements and three loops (D, anti-codon, and T loops).
Source: Rfam
GGGCGUUUAGCUCAGUUGGGAGAGCGCUGCCUUCGCAUGGCAGAGGUCACGGGUUCGAAUCCCGUAAUGUCCA